CCUGCAGUCUGCUGUGCAUCAGCUGGUAGCUGAUGUGUGCUGCUUGCAUCUGGAAGUUCACUUUCUGUGGCCAGAGAGUAGAAGAUGGACAGGUGUUUGCAGGUGAUACCACCAGGACAAAGCAGUUUGGACAGAGCUUUUAUUUAUUUAUUUAUUUAUUUGCCUAUCUAUCUAUCUAUUUAUUUUUUCCUGUCCUUAAUUUCUGUGCUGAUGUUAGCAUGAAGGAAACUUUAUUUAUUAUUUACUUCUCUUGGCUUUUCUAAUACACAUGCUGUUUACCAACAUCUUGGAGUUCACAGUCCACCUUAGGAGACAGUCAAAAAAAUUUAAGAAGGGACAAUACCAAAACAUUUUGAUGUGAAAUACAGAGAUUUCUUGUCCCAUGUCUCCCCGUCUACCAUGUACUGAAUACAGACUGUGCCAGAUUUUUAGGUAUUCCUGCUUAUGUGUUAGGCUGCUUUGUGUGCUUCAUGGGUGAAUAGGUGUGGAGAUGCCUCUGCAAUUCUCUCAGCUGCCAUCAACUGACCCUAGAUGACCCGUCUUUGUGCUUCUAAUACCCAGCCCCUACAACAGGAGAAAAGACUUACAGAAAAAAUGGGACUGAUCCUGAAAUGAUGUGUAUGAGCUCCUGCAGUCAACCUCCUUUCAAAAACCCAGCAAGUACCAUGCAUCUUCAGAGCAAAUAUGAACCAGUUUGGACAGAAUAUACCUUAAUGAAGAAACAGAAAUCUGUUCUCGGUGACCAGAAUCAUUCCAGCUUCAAUGAGUGUGAGAGAAAUGGUGGCUAUGGAUGUAAAAGUUCCAUGAUUCUUCCUUGUCACUGUUUUUCCAAACCUGGGGAUACCAAGAGAUAUCCUGGAGUAGGAGGAGAAAGAAUGGGAGACCAACAAGCAAGAAAAUAACGAAGUUCAAAAGAACCGUAAGGAAGAGGAAGAGCUGGGACAAAAAGAAAUGUUAGGGGAUGAUAAAGACUGAUUGGUUAUGGAUGGUUCUUGAAGUUCAGAAAAGACAGGUUGUGAUGAGAACAACAAAGAGAUGCAUUUGUUUGGCCUGGCCACAACUGUUUAACCUUGAGAAAAGAUUCCUGCCUCCAUGUGUAAGCAGGACAAAGAGAUCCUGUAACAGUUGUGUUGCUCACCCAUCCCAUGCUGCUAUCUCCUGCUGUUGUCCACAGGUUUGAUCCAGUUACAUCUCCCUUCUCUAGGCGCAGUUGGACCUUGGCUCAGACCUGUAACUUACCCGAGCUGCCCCCUUGUAUUUGCUAGUAUUUCUUUACAUAUCUGCCGAUUUCAAGGUUGUCUUCUUGGGUUUGGUGCAAAGCAAACCCCAAUGUACUGCUGUCCUGCAUACUGCUUCUAGAGAAAACAGCAAUUUUCUUGUCACCGACGUUCUGUUUUACCUUUACUAUGUGUUCUCAGAAUCUUUAAUUUCUUAUUCUACUUAAAAACUGGCUUUCCCUAAAUGCUAAGCCCUAUGUGCAGAGGGUUAAAGCUUGACAAAUUACAAGCAUUUAUGACGUGCUUAUGCUAUUAAAGAUAUUAAUUAUUAUUUCAAUAAUUCCACGACUCCUAGAAUAAUGUGAAUAUAAGUAGAGCUCAGCUUUGGUACCUGCAAAAAAAAACAACAGAAAUGUUGGAGAAAAGCAGAAUGUGUGUCUUGUAGAUUCUGACAUGUGGAAUAGGAAAUCUCCUAUACGAUAAAUGUCACAGCAAAGUGUGAUAGAGGAACAUAGAUGCAAUAAGUAACAGCUUCCUGCAAACAGUCGGAGAGCUGAGUAUAACUGGUUUUGAUGUAUUUAUGAGCAGUGCAUAGAAUCUGUCUCAAAAUGUUGCUCUUGAACAGCUAUAUUUAAUAGCCAUUAGAGCACACUCAAAUUAUAUAUACGUAUACAUAUAUUUUCUCCUAGGAGAAACACGGUAGUGUUUAACUAUGUGAAAAAACGUUUAACUAAAAUGAGGAAGUUUCUUAAAAGGAGAUGGAGAGGAAGAGCCAAAAGAGUAGAAUACUUACAGUUGGUGUGGAUAUUUUUUAAAGAGUUUCAAUGUAGCUUGUAACUGUCUAUCAGCAAAUAAAACAAACAACUUUGAAAGGAAACUCA
Molecule: long non-coding RNA, 2098 nt
Filed under: Anas platyrhynchos platyrhynchos (common mallard)
Lineage: Eukaryota; Metazoa; Chordata; Aves; Anseriformes; Anatidae
Description: lncRNA (ENSAPLG00000020594.1)
Source: RNAcentral